GAUGAACGCUGGCGGCGUGCCUAAUACAUGCAAGUCGAGCGAACAGACGAGGAGCCUGCUCCUCUGACGUUAGCGGCGGACGGGUGAGUAACACGUGGAUAACCUACCUAUAAGACUGGGAUAACUUCGGGAAACCGGAGCUAAUACCGGAUAAUAUAUUGAACCGCAUGGUUCAAUAGUGAAAGACGGUUUUGCUGUCACUUAUAGAUGGAUCCGCGCCGCAUUAGCUAGUUGGUAAGGUAACGGCUUACCAAGGCAACGAUGCGUAGCCGACCUGAGAGGGUGAUCGGCCACACUGGAACUGAGACACGGUCCAGACUCCUACGGGAGGCAGCAGUAGGGAAUCUUCCGCAAAGGGCGAAAGCUUGACGGAGCAACGCCGCGUGAGUGAUGAAGGUCUUCGGAUCGUAAAACUCUGCUAUUAGGGAAGAACAAAUGUGUAAGUAACUAUGCACGUCUUGACGGUACCUAAUCAGAAAGCCACGGCUAACUACGUG
RNAcentral lists this ribosomal RNA (497 nucleotides) under uncultured bacterium. RNAcentral's name for it is "partial 16S ribosomal RNA". It matches the Rfam family "Bacterial small subunit ribosomal RNA", at positions 28 to 507 of the family's 1533-position model. The record is from RNAcentral.